GGGGCUUUAGCUCAGUGGUAGAGCACUUGCCUAGCAAGCGCAAGGCCCUGGGUUCGGUUCCCAGCUCCG
Molecule: transfer RNA, 69 nt
Filed under: Rattus norvegicus (Norway rat)
Lineage: Eukaryota; Metazoa; Chordata; Mammalia; Rodentia; Muridae
Rfam family: tRNA
About the family: Transfer RNA (tRNA) molecules are approximately 80 nucleotides in length. Their secondary structure includes four short double-helical elements and three loops (D, anti-codon, and T loops).
Source: Rfam by way of RNAcentral